GAUGAACGCUGGCGGCGUGCCUAAUACAUGCAAGUCGAGCGAACGGACGAGAAGCUUGCUUCUCUGAUGUUAGCGGCGGACGGGUGAGUAACACGUGGAUAACCUACCUAUAAGACUGGGAUAACUUCGGGAAACCGGAGCUAAUACCGGAUAAUAUUAUGAACCGCAUGGUUCAAAAGUGAAAGACGGUCUUGCUGUCACUUAUAGAUGGAUCCGCGCUGCAUUAGCUAGUUGGUAAGGUAACGGCUUACCAAGGCAACGAUGCAUAGCCGACCUGAGAGGGUGAUCGGCCACACUGGAACUGAGACACGGUCCAGACUCCUACGGGAGGCAGCAGUAGGGAAUCUUCCGCAAUGGGCGAAAGCCUGACGGAGCAACGCCGCGUGAGUGAUGAAGGUCUUCGGAUCGUAAAACUCUGUUAUUAGGGAAGAACAUAUGUGUAAGUAACUGUGCACAUCCUGACGGUACCUAAUCAGAAAGCCACGGCUAACUACGUG
Molecule: ribosomal RNA, 497 nt
Filed under: uncultured bacterium
Lineage: Bacteria
Description: partial 16S ribosomal RNA
Rfam family: Bacterial small subunit ribosomal RNA
Source: RNAcentral